Molecule: long non-coding RNA, 3862 nt
Organism: Gorilla gorilla gorilla (western lowland gorilla)
Lineage: Eukaryota; Metazoa; Chordata; Mammalia; Primates; Hominidae
Exons: 5
Source: RefSeq, a predicted model, not a curated record
UGUCUGGUCCCUAGCAUUGGCUGCCCACCCUCUGAAAAGCGACUGAGUCCUUGAGUCUCCUGGGAUGUUCAUAUGAAUCCCCUUGAAGCUUUAAUUUGAUAAGACCUCAGUGGAGACUGCUGAACGCCUGAGAUUUAACAUCAUAUAUUAUUCAUUGUUGCUGUUGCCACAGACGUGCUGAUUUUGCCCCUGCUGAGCAAGGCACUUCUGCACAUGGGAACUUGAUGGCUAACCACACUGCAUGUUCUUCAGGCAGGACCUAUUCCAGAACAUUCCAAGCUGUCUGCUAGCAAGUCUGCAUUAACUCCCUCAAUGCUGCAUGCACGGUGUCACUGAGUCCUUCACCACCCGCCCCGCCACCAGAGCCAGUCUUUUUAAGAAUUUUGCCUGGGCUGUGUUUUUCAAAGUGCCUCUCUCUAGUGUGCAUCUCUUCUUAAUCACAGAAAGCAGAUCUGAGAGCUUCUAAUGCACUUUUCUAUUACUUCAAGAACACUGUGUAUAAUAAUAAACUCUACAGAAAUAAACCAAAGCACAAGAAGCUUUCAGGUCUGGAGGCUGACAUUUCUCAAGACAGAUGCAAAAACCCAGGCCCAGAGAGAUGAAGAAACCUGGCUAAGGUAACAUGUAAGUUAGUGUCAAAAUCAGGAUAAAACCCAGAUCUUCUGACUCUUAGUGUAGCCCUCUUUUUACCCAGCCACACUGCCUGUGUCCCUGGGACUGUUAGUAAAAUAACAGGUGAGCUGGACCCCCUUUUUGAGAUGACUGGGUAUGUUUACUGUCUGGGUCAGAUCAGUCAAGUACUCUGAGUCUAGGGUUGUUCCUAGAACAGAAGCUGGGGUUGAUGAGCAUUUGUGAGUAUUGGAGAAGGAGUGAGGGGGAGGAGCCUCACACGCAAACCCAGGCCCUGGUUUCAAUUUCGUGUAUGAGAUUACCUGAGAACGGAAUGCAAGUAACAGGCAAAUAAUUGACAUCUCAGACCUAACUGUGUAUGCAUCCUGAGUAGCUAAUAGUGAGCUGUUCACUACUAAUGCUGUGUGUAGGUUCAUCCCAAAGACAGGCUGAUCCACACAUAGACAGGCUGGUCCUGUGAUUAAGGAGUGUGAGCUGGCAUUCCCUUUAUCAGGACAAAGAUAGGUUCUGCUUCCUCUGGAUAUUCUUUAGGCAAAGCUUUACUUAUGGCCUUGCAAAUAACCCAUGGUCUCUUGGUCAAUGAACAAAAUAGCAGUGAAGAAGAUGAAUUCUCCUUAUUUAUCUUCAGUUUUCUCCCUGGAGUGAAAGUGAGGGUUAUUGUCUGGUAUAUUAGAAAAAUAGUACAUUAUACUACCUAAGGGGUUUCAGUCUGACUCAAAAUGAAAGGAUAACAGGAAAUGGGGUGCUGUUUUGCUGAGUAGCUGAGAUAGCCUACCUUAUUAAUUCUAAGUAUGUCUCUAUUUUCCCUUUCCAAUGCUUCUUGGUUUCUUACUAUUUCUAAAUCCCCUUUCCCCAUGUGCAGCAUGGUGUGGGUAGAGAUAGGAAUAAGAAGCAGCUAAUUCUUACCUUACAAGAAAAAUAACUUGGCAGUCAAGAGAAAAUUGACGGCAACACUCUUUGCAAACAGCAUUCGUAGCCCCAGCACUGUGAGGGACAUCAUGUUCACCUUCUCGGUAUGAACUAUGGCUGAAAAAGAGUGAAGAGGGUGGCUUCAGGGAGAGAUUAAAUUCCCUUCCAGAAAUUGGGCCUGCGACACUGAUAUCAGCCUGCCCCAAGCCUGCCUAGUUCUUUCUGGCCUGCAAGCCCAGCAUGGUGCCAGAUAGCCGUCAGAGACCUUAGGCUGCUGCUGACACCCAGCCAGGCAAGCUUGGGAAACCGAUGCCGACGGCCAGGUAAGCCCUGCUGGGAGAGUCAGAGGCUCCGCAGAACCAACUGGGCUCAGCAUGGUUUGUGUUUUCUUUUGAAAUCUGAUACAUUUUGGCCCCAGUGGACAAUUACACAGUUUGCUUUAACCCUUGAUUCUGAAGUUGGCCCUUUGAUUUGAACUAACCUUUGAGUUUAUGGCAGCUCUUUGAAGGUUGCUUUGUGUUUUCAGUUUCCUUUGGUUUUAGGUGAUCUGGAACAAACAGCAGUGGUCAGGGUUACAUUGGGAAUGAAGAGGCUCACAGGAUUGUAGGCUUUUAAAACUGGAGGAGACUUUGGCUCCUUGAAGCUAGAAAUGGCCUACCUGUAGAAUCUGUCUUCUCUUCAAAGUCAGUAGAGUGCACAGUUUUAUUGUCGUGUUGAACUGAACAUGUCACUGAAUUUGAAUCUUCGUAUUUACCAAGCUUGACAGCAUUGUACUUCCCACUGGGAGAGAUGACAAUAGCAGGAUCAAACUCUGUUAUCUUCUUGGAUGACUCGAGAUUUAUUCUUAUAUCCUUGGGGUAGAAUUCCUUCACCAGACAAGCGACAUUUGUUCCAUUUUUCAUGACAAAAACGGAUGGUUUGGUAUGAGGCUGACUUUCUGCAAAUAUAAUCAACUUAUUAGGGUCUUUUUCACCCAGGUUGGAGUGAAGUGGCCCAAUAUCAACUCAUUGCAACCUCUGCCUCCUGGCUCAGACUCUCCUCCAGCCUCAGUCUUCCGAGUAGCUGGGACCACAGGUGCACACCACCACACCUGGCUAAUUUUUUGUAUAAAAAUAAAUAAUUUUUCUAAUGCUUUAUCCUGAAUCUGAAUUUGGGCUUCAGCUGUGAGGUUCACAGCAGUAGAGCUACUGCCAGAUCAACUGGUUAUAUCUGGUUGAGAGGGAGCGAUUGCUAGUCAGGAAGUUUCUGCUGAUCACGGCUUUGUAAAUGGACCAAAGUUGAUCAUGGUUUUCCUAGAAAAUCAACUAUUCAGAGAACCCCCCCAUCACUACCAUCAUCAUUCUCCCCGUUUCCUCUGCUGAGAAGCUCAACUAAAAGACUGAUUCUGUUUCAGUCACUCAGGGCAGGAAACUUAUUCCUACGAAUCUGGUUCCUUAUGUUUUUGGCUUUAGUUCUAGACAAUUGAAAGGAUUAGAAAUUUUUCAAAGGGCUUUCUUGGAACCUGCUUUCAACCUGCUUGAGAAAACUUCCUCUGUUUGGUUUCCUUGCAUAGCUGAAGCCACCUGAUAACAGAAAGUGAUAACUCUAGCAUUAACGGUUGGAAACCACAUGCAUUGCUCACUCACCUCCCUUCAUAAGUGCAACACUUCUUGCUCACUAUCUUGACUUUGGUUUCAGAUGUACUCUGGCUGACUUUCAAGGGAGUUACAAGUUACAAAAGAAACUUGUCCAUAAAAUAAACACCCUAUCUCCUUGUUUAUUUAAGAGUAUCUCUUAAUCCUAGUCUGAUUUAGUUGGAUAAUUAAGGCUUGCUAGAAUUUUAAAAUCUAAAUUCAUCAGGCAGUUGUCAAAUCAUCACUUUGGGCUGGGGAGAUUGGGUUUGAGUAAUUUGAAUAAUACAAUAUAACUGAAAAGACAGAUGUCUGAAGAAGGUCAUGCACUUAUGAUAUUGUGCUCUGACUGUAUUAGUCAGCAGUUCAGAUAGAGCAUAAUACAUUGAUUUGAUAAAACAUUUUUCUGAAUCCCUCUUUCUACAUUAAUGUUUAUAUUUUCAAAACGAUUGUUUGAAAGAAAGUGUCUUGUAGAAUCCACUGUUUGGCAUCUUGGUAACCAAAGAAAUGGGUGUCUGACUGAAUUAAACCUUUUUAAAAACUGGAGUUCACUCAAUAUAGUUGCCAUAUGCAUCCUAGUCUAUUUUGUAUUUGACUUAAACCCAAACGUGAAGCUGUAUGAAAUUGUAGUCCAAAAUUUAGAUUAAAGAUUUAAUUGUUUAUCUUUGAAGAAUUUGUAGUCUUUUUUUCUUAGUCCACAAAUAUAAUUACAU